AGUCAUGAGUUUAGGACCAUGCUAGUAGAAAUUGUGCUAUUGCCUCAGGUAGUUUUGACGUUACCCUUUAUGGGGCUAGUUUUGUUAAAAACAUUACCGCAUUAACGUUUUGGUUUCUGAACUUUGAUACUGGGUUUGUUUUGUGAUGCAUUAAAUUUUGUAUGACCUGUGCUGAGGAUUUUUUUUCCCCACAAAAUUACAACACAACUGACUGGUUAUUGAAUAUUUUUCUUCAUAGUUGUAAUUAGCAAAGGUGUUUUUCGCUUGGAGUCUAUGCAUAAAGGAGAGCCAGAUUAUCUGUUGCUUCCCAACGGACACGUAGAUUCAAAUCCUUGCUUAUGUUCUUGCAUAAUUGAUUCUGUAAGUUUUAUAGUUCAGCUCCUUCAUUAAAUGAGAGUAAUGAGUCAAAUUAUGUUUAUAAGUAACAAAAUAAAAAAUUAAUCUCAACUUCUUUUUUGUCAUCUAUUUGUAAAUUAAGAUAAAUAUUCAAUUAAACAGACAUUCAUCCCUAUGAAAACCGUAAAUUAAUAUUUUUAUAUUUAUCACUUUUAUAUU
RNAcentral lists this unclassified non-coding RNA (555 nucleotides) under Hevea brasiliensis (rubber tree). Lineage: Eukaryota; Viridiplantae; Streptophyta; Magnoliopsida; Malpighiales; Euphorbiaceae. The record is from RNAcentral.